AUUGAACGCUGGCGGCAGGCUUAACACAUGCAAGUCGAGCGGUAACAGGGGGAGCUUGCUCCCUGCUGACGAGCGGCGGACGGGUGAGUAAUGCUUAGGAAUCUGCCUAUUAGUGGGGGACAACAUUCCGAAAGGGAUGCUAAUACCGCAUACGCCCUACGGGGGAAAGCAGGGGAUCUUCGGACCUUGCGCUAAUAGAUGAGCCUAAGUCGGAUUAGCUAGUUGGUGGGGUAAAGGCCUACCAAGGCGACGAUCUGUAGCGGGUCUGAGAGGAUGAUCCGCCACACUGGGACUGAGACACGGCCCAGACUCCUACGGGAGGCAGCAGUGGGGAAUAUUGGACAAUGGAGGCAACUCUGAUCCAGCCAUGCCGCGUGUGUGAAGAAGGCCUUUUGGUUGUAAAGCACUUUAAGCGAGGAGGAGGCUCCCUUGGUUAAUACCCAAGGUGAGUGGACGUUACUCGCAGAAUAAGCACCGGCUAACUCUGU
RNAcentral lists this ribosomal RNA (488 nucleotides) under uncultured bacterium. RNAcentral's name for it is "bacterial SSU rRNA". It matches the Rfam family "Bacterial small subunit ribosomal RNA", at positions 30 to 506 of the family's 1533-position model. The record is from RNAcentral.